UGAACGCUAGCGGCAGGCUUAACACAUGCAAGUCGAGGGUAGAAGCAGCUUGCUGCUUUGAGACCGGCGCACGGGUGCGUAACGCGUAUGCAAUCUACCUUUUACAGAGGGAUAGCCCAGAGAAAUUUGGAUUAAUACCUCAUAGUAUGUGAGAAUCGCAUGGUUUUCACAUUAAAGUCACAACGGUAAAAGAUGAGCAUGCGUCCCAUUAGCUUGUUGGUAAGGUAACGGCUUACCAAGGCAACGAUGGGUAGGGGUCCUGAGAGGGAGAUCCCCCACACUGGUACUGAGACACGGACCAGACUCCUACGGGAGGCAGCAGUGAGGAAUAUUGGACAAUGGGCGCAAGCCUGAUCCAGCCAUGCCGCGUGCAGGAUGACGGUCCUAUGGAUUGUAAACUGCUUUUGUACAGGAAGAAACACUCCCUCGUGAGGGAGCUUGACGGUACUGUAAGAAUAAGGAUCGGCUAACUCCGUG
This 477-nucleotide ribosomal RNA is filed under the name uncultured bacterium. Its description in RNAcentral is "bacterial SSU rRNA". It matches the Rfam family "Bacterial small subunit ribosomal RNA", at positions 30 to 507 of the family's 1533-position model. The record is from RNAcentral.